Molecule: ribosomal RNA, 482 nt
Filed under: uncultured bacterium
Lineage: Bacteria
Description: partial 16S ribosomal RNA
Rfam family: Bacterial small subunit ribosomal RNA
Source: RNAcentral
AUUGAACGCUGGCGGCAUGCUUUACACAUGCAAGUCGAACGGUAACAGCACUUCGGUGGCUGACGAGUGGCGAACGGGUGAGUAAUACAUCGGAACGUGCCUAGUAGUGGGGGAUAACUACUCGAAAGAGUAGCUAAUACCGCAUGAGAUCUAAGGAUGAAAGCAGGGGACCUUCGGGCCUUGCGCUACUAGAGCGGCUGAUGGCAGAUUAGGUAGUUGGUGGGAUAAAAGCUUACCAAGCCGACGAUCUGUAGCUGGUCUGAGAGGACGACCAGCCACACUGGGACUGAGACACGGCCCAGACUCCUACGGGAGGCAGCAGUGGGGAAUUUUGGACAAUGGGCGCAAGCCUGAUCCAGCAAUGCCGCGUGCAGGAUGAAGGCCUUCGGGUUGUAAACUGCUUUUGCACGGAACGAAAAGCCCUCUUCUAAUACAGGAGGGUCAUGACGGUACCGUAAGAAUAAGCACCGGCUAACUACGUG